Long non-coding RNA from Brassica rapa (field mustard), 560 nucleotides. RefSeq lists it as uncharacterized. Lineage: Eukaryota; Viridiplantae; Streptophyta; Magnoliopsida; Brassicales; Brassicaceae. The record is from RefSeq and is a predicted model, not a curated record.
CUCAGACGUGGUGGUACUUUAUUCACUAAAAUCUGUCAAAAUCAGUGUAACGCCAAUAAUCAUCGUCCUACGGUUUACAAACAAUAUAAAAAGUACCAUACGUACAUGUCGGGACAAAACAACGAAAACAUAAAAAUAAAAUAUAUUUUAAAUAUAAGAAAAUAAACACCAGAAAGUCCCACUUUAUCGACGACAUCUGUAGUCGUAACUCGUAAUAGAGGAAGAUGGUAUUCAAGUAAGUGCUUUUGUAAUCAUCUCUCUUCUAAUCAGAGUUAUUUAACGGGUUGUGUUGAUUAGCGUUCGAGCUUAUGUUAAGUAUUUGAUUUGUCUUAAAAGUCUCCAACCAGCUACCAGAGAGAAUCUUUAAACACCUAACCGGAUUGCAAUAAGAAUCCUCCCUAAACCGGAUUCAAAUCUCACAAACACACAAUUAACACCAUAAUCAUUAGAACAAAACAAAAGCAAGAAUCAAUUAGUUCAAAAAACCCAGUUGCAAAUUUUGCAUGUUCUAAUAUAUAAUAAAAAACCGAGAAUGCUGAAAACCGAAAUAACAUUUAAAU